This 290-nucleotide ribosomal RNA is filed under the name uncultured sulfate-reducing bacterium. RNAcentral's name for it is "partial 16S ribosomal RNA". The record is from RNAcentral.
GGACUCACGUGUCCACACGCCGGCCACGGACGCCUCCGGCCCCGGUCAAGGCCCGUGGAUGGACGAGAUCUACUACUACUUCGUCACCAUGAAACUCCCCGACCACGUUGCGGAUCGCCCUGGCCUGCUGCCUGAACAUGUGCGGGGCCGUCCACUGUUCCGACAUCGCCAUCCUCGGGAUCCACCGGACGGUUCCCAAGCCCGACAACAGACGUGUUCCGAACGUCUGCGAAAUUCCCUCCACGGAUGGCUUCCUGCCCCACGGGCGCCAUCAAGGGGGACAUGAGGAA